AUCCUGGCUUAGGAUGAACGCAGCGGCAGGCUUAACACAUGCAAGUCGAGGGGCAGCGGGAUGUAGCAAUACAUGCCGGCGACCGGCGGAUGGGUGCGUAACGCGUAUGCAACUACCUUAUACAGGGGAAUAACCUUUCGAAAGGGAGACUAACACCCCAUAGUAUUGAUUUAAGGCAUCUUAGAUUAAUUAAAUAUUUAUAGGUAUAAGAUGGGCAUGCGUAUGAUUAGCUAGUUGGUAAGGUAACGGCUUACCAAGGCGACGAUCAUUAGGGGUUCUGAGAGGAAGGUCCCCCCACACUGGUACUGAGACACGGACCAGACUCCUACGGGAGGCAGCAGUGAGGAAUAUUGGUCAAUGGGCGCAAGCCUGAACCAGCCAUGCCGCGUGCAGGAAAAGGACGGCCUUAUGGGUUGUAAACUGCUUUUACAUAAGACUAACCGUAUAUUUGCGAAUAUACCUGAAUGUAUUAUGAGAAUAAGGAUCGGCUAACUCCGUGCCAGCAGCCGC
This 510-nucleotide ribosomal RNA is filed under the name uncultured bacterium. RNAcentral's name for it is "bacterial SSU rRNA". It matches the Rfam family "Bacterial small subunit ribosomal RNA", at positions 16 to 518 of the family's 1533-position model. The record is from RNAcentral.